Sporosarcina sp. HYO08 is the source of this 74-nucleotide non-coding RNA. The record is from Rfam. Lineage: Bacteria; Bacillati; Bacillota; Bacilli; Caryophanales; Caryophanaceae.
CCCGUGCUACAACCGCGCUGAUCAGGUACAAGCAUCCUUAUGGAUCACCUGUGAAGGCGAGUCUGAGUCUAAUG